UGCGGACGUGGCGAAAUUGGUAGACGCACUGGAUUUAGGUUCCAGCGGGCAACCGUGGGAGUUCGAGUCUCCCCGUUCGCACCAC
Molecule: transfer RNA, 85 nt
Filed under: Francisella tularensis subsp. holarctica OSU18
Lineage: Bacteria; Pseudomonadati; Pseudomonadota; Gammaproteobacteria; Thiotrichales; Francisellaceae
Description: tRNA-Leu
Rfam family: tRNA
About the family: Transfer RNA (tRNA) molecules are approximately 80 nucleotides in length. Their secondary structure includes four short double-helical elements and three loops (D, anti-codon, and T loops). Further hydrogen bonds mediate the characteristic L-shaped molecular structure. tRNAs have two regions of fundamental functional importance: the anti-codon, which is responsible for specific mRNA codon recognition, and the 3' end, to which the tRNAs corresponding amino acid is attached (by aminoacyl-tRNA synthetases). tRNAs cope with the degeneracy of the genetic code in two manners: having more than one tRNA (with a specific anti-codon) for a particular amino acid; and 'wobble' base-pairing, i.e. permitting non-standard base-pairing at the 3rd anti-codon position.
Source: RNAcentral